This 464-nucleotide ribosomal RNA is filed under the name uncultured bacterium. RNAcentral's name for it is "partial 16S ribosomal RNA". It matches the Rfam family "Bacterial small subunit ribosomal RNA", at positions 29 to 507 of the family's 1533-position model. The record is from RNAcentral.
ACGAACGCUGGCGGCGUGCUUAACACAUGCAAGUCGAACGGAAAGGCCCCUUUGGGGGUACUCGAGUGGCGAACGGGUGAGUAACACGUGAGUAACCUGCCCUUGACUUCGGGAUAACUUCAGGAAACUGGGGCUAAUACCGGAUAGGAAUCCUUGCUGCAUGGUGGGGGUUGGAAAGCUUCGGCGGUUUUGGAUGGACUCGCGGCUUAUCAGCUUGUUGGUGGGGUAGUGGCUUACCAAGGCUUUGACGGGUAGCCGGCCUGAGAGGGCGACCGGCCACAUUGGGACUGAGAUACGGCACAGACUCCUACGGGAGGCAGCAGUGGGGAAUAUUGCACAAUGGGCGGAAGCCUGAUGCAGCAACGCCGCGGGCGGGAUGACGGCCUUCGGGUUGUAAACCGCUUUCAGCAGGGGCGAAGCUUGUGGUGACGGUACCUGCAGAAGAAGCACCGGCUAACUACGUG